Molecule: long non-coding RNA, 2183 nt
Organism: Oreochromis aureus
Lineage: Eukaryota; Metazoa; Chordata; Actinopteri; Cichliformes; Cichlidae
Exons: 2
Source: RefSeq, a predicted model, not a curated record
GAAUACUCUCUGUGCUGCCAGGUGCUGUCGGGACAGAUUUUCCCGUGGUAGCGGCAUCGCAGGAACAUGUGUCCCCACGGCUUUUUCUGCGGCCGCCCCCUCUGCCGACACGCUGGCGUAUAUAUGAAGCAUGAGUGGCCAAAAGCUGCCGCACACAGGCUGAGGAGGACCCGCGGCACCUGCAGCAGAGCAGUUGAACCCAGCUAUGAUGUAAGUCAGAUCUUCCAGUGGCUGGUGGCCAGUGCCGACUGGGACAGCUUCCAGCCUCAGAGGACUGCGAUUAACCCAGGAGCGGUCAAACUCGGCAGGACGCCCUCCACAACCAGCCACAGCUAUUUAUCCACUUUCCAAUGAAACCAAUUACUUUUACAGCAAGCCCCAGCGCCAACAUUAUAUGUGUUGUUCUUGCAGACCAAAAGAGUAUGGCUUUGAAAAGAGAGCCAGGCAUGAAGUAGGAAACCCUCCUGAGCUGCUCCAGCAGGCUGUAAAAUAUACCUAAAGUCAGUAUCCAUGGAGACUAGCUGGUGUGUGAGAGCAGCCUGAAGGAUACACGUGGAUAUUAUUACUAUUGCUAUUUACUGUUCUUUGUCUUUUACUUGUUAUUGUAGAGUGUUAGUUUUUACACAGUUUCCUCUGGGAUUAAUACAUGAUUCCGAUUCUGAGUAAUAGUGUUGGAGUUGCUACAAAUUUCCUUCAUGUAGCUACCAGAAGAAAUGUUUUUAAUGUAAAUCUGCUUACACCUUGCUUAUAUUUAUUUAUAUGUUUUACAAUGUGCUUAUUGCAGGACAUCACAGCUUUUAACAAAUUCUGAUAUUUUAGCUUCUUUUUUGAAAAUUAAAUUUCAACAGUUGUAAAAGUCACAGCAUGUUAACUUCAUAGAACUUUUUCAGUCAUUUUCAUCUUCUUUUCACUAUGAAAAUGACCUUGCAGAAACAGAGGGAAAUGCAAGCGCAAGGGCUUUUCUACAAAAAUUGUAUAAGAAAAAUCUAGAAAACAUCCAGUUAUUGUUUGACACAUUAAGGACGCAUUACUUCUUCCAUUAACAUUGAGCUGUGUAAGUGUAAAUGUUCAUUUUACUACUGCUACUCAAGCAAGUUUCAGUCUGAUUUUCACAGAUGCAAGAUCUCGAGCCAAUUAACUUUAAUUUAUAAUUAUUAUAAUUUAAUAUUAAUAAAAAUAUGAUUUUAUCAUUUUAUAAUUUUUAUUUGUUAUGUUAAAAUUUCUUCUCUGUUUUCAGAGUCAAGUGAUUAUAUGACUCACAAAUGCACAGAAAAUACUGCAACCAACACUGCAAAGUGCUGACAAACACAGUAAACCAAAUAGCUUAUAUAAUACAAACCAACCACAAUGGUUGCCCAGGGUAACAUGUUCACAUUGCUUUUGGCAACUGACUUGCUCUGAAAAAUACCCAAAGAUGUUGAGUGCACUGCAGUCUUACAAAUGUUAACUUCUGAGAAUCUGUGACUAAAGAUCAUUUCUGCUUUGUUUGGUGCUGAUUAGCAUUUUCCUUUACUGCUGAACGAAAAUCUAAUGAAGCUCCAUUUAAGGCUUUUGGAGGGCUUUUCUUGACAUUAGAAUCCACAGGCUAACAGUAAAAUGAGGGGGCAUAUUUUUUGAAUUAUGUUGACAAGGUUGUUUUUUUUCUGCAUCUGUCCAAUAAAUGUCAUGUUAAAGUGUUGUUAUUAGGUUACUAGUCGUAAGUAAGGAAAGGACGAGGACAGCAGACUCAGUUAAUAAAGCAGUCAUAUCACUGAUCGCUGGCUGGGCUAAUUGACAGACACAUGAAGAGAAAACUACUAAUUGAUUAUAGGCUUGUCCUAUUCUAGCGCAGGAGGUGACUGAUGGAAAAUGUGAAUUGGCCUGAGAGAUGCUUUAUGCCUAUGUCUACAUUUGGAUUUCUGUUUCGAUGAAAAACUUUCUGCACAGUGCUUUCUGCUUGAAAUUUCUACGUUCUUUAAGGUGCAAUAAAAAAAGUGGUGGUUUUUAUAGUUAUUUGUGUGUCUUGACAGUUGUGCUGUCACUUAGCAGAGGGUCUCCAGGCUUUCUAAUACAGUCCCACUGAGCUUAUAUCCAAAAGAAGUAUUUACUUUUAACCAAGUGAAGCCUGAACCAUGAAAUGUUUUUUUGAAACUGGGAUGUUUACUGAGCCUUCUGACCAAUAAAAAAUAAAUAAAUAAAUGAAA